GGCAACAGCUCAAAUUUGAAAUCUGGCCCUCGGGUCCGAAUUGUAAUUUGUAGAGGAUGCUUUUGGUGAGGUACCUUCCGAGUUCCCUGGAACGGGACGCCAUAGAGGGUGAGAGCCCCGUCUGGUUGGAUACCGAUCCUCUGUAAAGCUCCUUCGACGAGUCGAGUAGUUUGGGAAUGCUGCUCUAAAUGGGAGGUAUAUGUCUUCUAAAGCUAAAUAUUGGCCAGAGACCGAUAGCGCACAAGUAGAGUGAUCGAAAGAUGAAAAGCACUUUGAAAAGAGAGUUAAAAAGUACGUGAAAUUGUUGAAAGGGAAGCGCUCAUGACCAGACUUGGGCUUGGUUGAUCAUCCAGGGUUCUCCCUGGUGCACUCUUCCAGCCCAGGCCAGCAUCAGUUCGCUGUGGGGGAUAAAGGCUUUGGGAAUGUGGCUCCUCCGGGAGUGUUAUAGCCCAUUGUGUAAUACCCUGUGGUGGACUGAGGUUCGCGCAUCUGCAAGGAUGCUGGCGUAAUGGUCAUCAGCGACCCGU
Molecule: ribosomal RNA, 527 nt
Filed under: Ilyonectria sp.
Lineage: Eukaryota; Fungi; Ascomycota; Sordariomycetes; Hypocreales; Nectriaceae
Description: partial large subunit ribosomal RNA
Rfam family: Eukaryotic large subunit ribosomal RNA
Source: RNAcentral